AUGAACGCUGGCGGCGUGCCUAAUACAUGCAAGUCGAGCGCACAGACGAGGAGCUUGCUCCUCUGACGUUAGCGGCGGACGGGUGAGUAACACGUGGAUAACCUACCUAUAAGACUGGGAUAACUUCGGGAAACCGGAGCUAAUACCGGACAAUAUAUUGAACCGCAUGGUUCAAUAGUGAAAGACGGUUUUGCUGUCACUUAUAGAUGGAUCCGCGCCGCAUUAGCUAGUUGGUAAGGUAACGGCUUACCAAGGCAACGAUGCGUAGCCGACCUGAGAGGGUGAUCGGCCACACUGGAACUGAGACACGGUCCAGACUCCUACGGGAGGCAGCAGUAGGGAAUCUUCCGCAAUGGGCGAAAGCCUGACGGAGCAACGCCGCGUGAGUGAUGAAGGUCUUCGGAUCGUAAAACUCUGUUAUUAGGGAAGAACAAAUGUGUAAGUAACUAUGCACGUCUUGACGGUACCUAAUCAGAAAGCCACGGCUAACUACGUG
RNAcentral lists this ribosomal RNA (496 nucleotides) under uncultured bacterium. RNAcentral's name for it is "partial 16S ribosomal RNA". It matches the Rfam family "Bacterial small subunit ribosomal RNA", at positions 29 to 507 of the family's 1533-position model. The record is from RNAcentral.